This is a long non-coding RNA of Sceloporus undulatus (fence lizard), 677 nucleotides long. RefSeq lists it as uncharacterized. The record is from RefSeq and is a predicted model, not a curated record. The transcript has 3 exons. NCBI's taxonomy places the organism in Eukaryota, Metazoa, Chordata, Lepidosauria, Squamata, Phrynosomatidae.
GCAGGCCUCAGCAACAGAACAACUUUUCCUUGUUUCCUUCUACCAAGGGCUGGAAUUUCAGAGGGAAAAAGCGCAAGCAGAGCACCCAAGAUGAAGAUGCAGUCAGUGUCUGCAACUUCGACUCAAGUUGCCAUCAGUGCAUUACAGAAUGCAAAAGGAAAGGCCUCUGCCCCAAGAAGCUAGACUUCACGUGACGAUGAGAAAGAACAAGCAGGAAAGGGAGAAGUGAAGUUGCUGGAAUGGUUAACUUUACAUGAGAAGCAGUGAGUUAGCAUUGUUUUGAUUGUAAAUCAGUUGCCACAUCAUAAUCAGUUGCCACAUUACAAAUCAGUUGCCACAUAAUAAUCUCUUGCAGAUUAACUCUAAAAAUGAGAUAUUGUACAUCCUUUUUGUUUGCAAAUAAAUUGUAUACUAAUUUGUGGGCAUGCACCCAUUUAGGCAUGUACACACACACACACACACACACACACACACACCCGUCUUCCAAUCCAGAAUUUAGAAAGCUGCCAAUAAGAAAAUGUCACUAAGAGAAUAUUCACAUGUUGGUUUUAGUGUGGUGAAGUGAAUAAUCUCAUUCACGCAUCCUGGGUUUGCUACUCACGUUAUGGAACUGCAUUGAUCCGUAUCUCUGUGAGUUCGGUCGUUCACAUGGGCAAGUAUUUGAAUAAAGAUGGAAU